GUAGAGAUGGUUCAGCAAUUUAGAACACUGGCCUCUCUUCCAGAGGACUUGGGUUCAAUUCCCAGCACCUACA
RNAcentral lists this transfer RNA (73 nucleotides) under Cricetulus griseus (Chinese hamster). It matches the Rfam family "tRNA". Rfam says of the family: Transfer RNA (tRNA) molecules are approximately 80 nucleotides in length. The record is from Rfam by way of RNAcentral. Lineage: Eukaryota; Metazoa; Chordata; Mammalia; Rodentia; Cricetidae.